This 440-nucleotide ribosomal RNA is filed under the name uncultured bacterium. Its description in RNAcentral is "partial 16S ribosomal RNA". It matches the Rfam family "Bacterial small subunit ribosomal RNA", at positions 338 to 795 of the family's 1533-position model. The record is from RNAcentral.
CCUACGGGAGGCAGCAGUGGGGAAUAUUGCACAAUGGGGGAAUCCCUGAUGCAGCGACGCCGCGUGAGUGAAGAAGUAAUUCGUUAUGUAAAGCUCUAUCAGCAGGGAAGAAAAUGACGGUACCUGAGUAAGAAGCCCCGGCUAACUACGUGCCAGCAGCCGCGGUAAUACGUAGGGGGCAAGCGUUAUCCGGAUUUACUGGGUGGAAAGGGAGCGUAGACGGCAGUGCAAGUCUGGAGUGAAAGGCGGGGGCUCAACCCCCGGACUGCUCUGGAAACUGUACGGCUGGAGUGCAGGAGAGGUAAGUGGAAUUCCUAGUGUAGCGGUGAAAUGCGUAGAUAUUAGGAGGAACACCAGUGGCGAAGGCGGCUUACUGGACUGUAACUGACGUUGAGGCUCGAAAGCGUGGGGAGCAAACAGGAUUAGAUACCCCAGUAGUC